GACGAACGCUGGCGGCGUGCCUAAUACAUGCGAGUAGAACGCUGAAGGAGGAGCUUGCUUCUCUGGAUGAGUUGCGAACGGGUGAGUAACGCGUAGGUAACCUGCCUGGUAGCGGGGGAUAACUAUUGGAAACGAUAGCUAAUACCGCAUAAUAGCAGUUAUUGCAUGAUAACUGUUUGAAAGGUGCAAUUGCACCACUACCAGAUGGACCUGCGUUGUAUUAGCUAGUUGGUGGGGUAACGGCUCACCAAGGCGACGAUACAUAGCCGACCUGAGAGGGUGAUCGGCCACACUGGGACUGGGACACGGCCCAGACUCCUACGGGAGGCAGCAGUAGGGAAUCUUCGGCAAGGGACGGAAGUCUGACCGAGCAACGCCGCGUGAGUGAAGAAGGGUUUCGGAUCGUAAAGCUCUGUUGUAAGAGAAGAACGAGUGUGAGAGUGGAAAGUUCACACUGUGACGGUAUCUUACCAGAAAGGGACGGCUAACUACGUG
RNAcentral lists this ribosomal RNA (495 nucleotides) under uncultured bacterium. RNAcentral's name for it is "partial 16S ribosomal RNA". It matches the Rfam family "Bacterial small subunit ribosomal RNA", at positions 28 to 507 of the family's 1533-position model. The record is from RNAcentral.